AUUGAACGCUGGCGGCGUGCUUAACACAUGCAAGUCGAACGGUAACAGGUUCUACGCAAGUAGAAUGCUGACGAGUGGCGGACGGGUGAGUAAUGCGUAGGAAUCUACCUUAUAGUGGGGGAUAACUUGAGGAAACUCAAGCUAAUACCGCAUAUUCCUUAAGAGGGAAAGCAGGGGACCGCAAGGCCUUGCGCUGUAAGAUGAGCCUGCGUCAGAUUAGCUUGUUGGUGGGGUAAUGGCCUACCAAGGCAACGAUCUGUAGCUGGUCUGAGAGGAUGAUCAGCCACACUGGGACUGAGACACGGCCCAGACUCCUACGGGAGGCAGCAGUGGGGAAUAUUGGACAAUGGGCGCAAGCCUGAUCCAGCAACGCCGCGUGUGUGAAGAAGGCCUUCGGGUUGUAAAGCACUUUCGUCGAGGAGGAAGGGUUUAUAGCGAAUACCUAUAAACUUUGACGUUACUCGAAUAAGAAGCACUGGCUAACUCUGUGCCAGCCGCCGCAGUAA
RNAcentral lists this ribosomal RNA (506 nucleotides) under uncultured bacterium. RNAcentral describes it as "partial 16S ribosomal RNA". It matches the Rfam family "Bacterial small subunit ribosomal RNA", at positions 30 to 523 of the family's 1533-position model. The record is from RNAcentral.